This 1026-nucleotide ribosomal RNA is filed under the name Aggregatibacter actinomycetemcomitans serotype d str. SA2200. Its description in RNAcentral is "bacterial LSU rRNA". It matches the Rfam family "Bacterial large subunit ribosomal RNA", at positions 1 to 1063 of the family's 2925-position model. Lineage: Bacteria; Pseudomonadati; Pseudomonadota; Gammaproteobacteria; Pasteurellales; Pasteurellaceae. The record is from RNAcentral.
GUUGUAUGGUUAAGAGACAAAGCGUACAAGGUGGAUGCCUUGGCAAUCAGAGGCGAAGAAGGACGUGCUAAUCUGCGAAAAGCUCGGAUGAGUCGAUAAGAGGCGUUUAAUCCGAGAUAUCCGAAUGGGGAAACCCGGUGGGUGAAGAACCCACUAUCAUUAUCUGAAUCCAUAGGGUAAUGAGGCGAACCGGGGGAACUGAAACAUCUAAGUACCCCGAGGAAAAGAAAUCAACCGAGAUUUUGUGAGUAGCGGCGAGCGAAAGCGAAAGAGCCUGUUAGUGAUAGCGACAGAGACAGAGGAAUGUGCUGGGAAGCACAGCGAGACAGGGUGAUAGCCCCGUACUCGAAGUCUGGGUCGUGGUACUAAGCUAACGAGAAGUAGGGCGGGACACGUGAUAUCCUGUUUGAAGAAGGGGGGCCCAUCCUCCAAGGCUAAAUACUCCUGAUUGACCGAUAGUGAAGCAGUACUGUGAAGGAAAGGCGAAAAGAACCGGGGUGACCGGAGUGAAAUAGAACCUGAAACCUUGUACGUACAAGCAGUGGGAGCCUGAAAGGGUGACUGCGUACCUUUUGUAUAAUGGGUCAGCGAGUUAUAUUUUGUAGCGAGGUUAACCGGAUAGGGGAGCCGAAGGGAAACCGAGUCUUAACUGGGCGCUUAGUUGCAAGGUAUAGACCCGAAACCCGGUGAUCUAGCCAUGGGCAGGUUGAAGGUUGGGUAACACUAACUGGAGGACCGAACCGACUAAUGUUGAAAAAUUAGCGGAUGACUUGUGGCUGGGGGUGAAAGGCCAAUCAAACCGGGAGAUAGCUGGUUCUCCCCGAAAUCUAUUUAGGUAGAGCCUUGAGCGGACACCUUUGGGGGUAGAGCACUGUUUCGGCUAGGGGGCCAUCCCGGCUUACCAACCCGAUGCAAACUACGAAUACCGAAGAGUGAUACUCAGGAGACACACGGCGGGUGCUAACGUCCGUCGUGGAGAGGGAAACAACCCAGACCGCCGGCUAAGGUCCCAAAGUACUAAUUAAG